GGGCAGGUGGUGAAAUGGUAGACACGCAAGGUUUAGGACCUUGUGCCGCAAGGCGUGAGAGUUCAAGUCUCUCCCUGCCCA
RNAcentral lists this transfer RNA (81 nucleotides) under Candidatus Kaiserbacteria bacterium. RNAcentral's name for it is "tRNA-Leu". It matches the Rfam family "tRNA". Rfam says of the family: Transfer RNA (tRNA) molecules are approximately 80 nucleotides in length. Lineage: Bacteria; Candidatus Kaiseribacteriota. The record is from RNAcentral.